RNAcentral lists this ribosomal RNA (433 nucleotides) under uncultured bacterium. RNAcentral's name for it is "partial 16S ribosomal RNA". It matches the Rfam family "Bacterial small subunit ribosomal RNA", at positions 29 to 507 of the family's 1533-position model. The record is from RNAcentral.
AACGAACGCUGGCGGCAUGCCUAACACAUGCAAGUCGAACGAGACCUUCGGGUCUAGUGGCGCACGGGUGCGUAACGCGUGGGAACCUGCCCUUAGGUUCGGAAUAACUCCCCGAAAGGGGUGCUAAUACCGGAUAAUGUCUUCGGACCAAAGAUUUAUCGCCUUUGGAUGGGCCCGCGUUGGAUUAGCUAGUUGGUAGGGUAAAAGCCUACCAAGGCGACGAUCCAUAGCUGGUCUGAGAGGAUGAUCAGCCACACUGGGACUGAGACACGGCCCAGACUCCGACGGGAGGCAGCAGUGGGGAAUAUUGGACAAGGGGCGAAAGCCUGAUCCAGCAAGGCCGCGUGAGUGAUGAAGGCCUUAGGGUUGUAAAGCUCUUUUACCCGGGAUGAUAAUGACAGUACCGGGAGAAUAAGCUCCGGCUAACUCCGUG